UCUCCCCUUUUAACGUUAUUCUCAAAUAUUUCACCUUCCAAGUUCCGAGAUUCUCUUCAAUCUUCAAAUAAAAGUUAUUUUAAAUUUGAUUCUUCAAAAAAUCUAUGCAUUAAUUCAAGGAUUUUCUUAGUCUAUAAACAAUCAGGUAUUCAUUAUUUCAUCAAAUUUUGAAUUUGAUUAAGGCUCUGCGGUUAAAAUGGCUCAAAAGAUGAGAUCUAACUUUCUUCAUGAUUCUAUCCGCAUCAAGUUCUAGAUAGCAAUGUCAGGUAAAGACAUUAUUGAUAAAUAAAUAAAAUUGUGUGCAUAAGAUUUCGAAAAACAUGAUGAAGACCAAGUUGAAGAACAAUUUACUAUUAGUUUGUUUUGUAUUUAUAAUUUCUUUUAAAUUUUGUAUUAUUUCUAAAUUUGUAUUUAAACCAUUAUGUAUGCUUUUAGGGACCGUUUGGUAGGCCACAUUCACACAAAUAGUCCAUGUAAUAUGUAUGUUAUUAUUUAAUACUAUGUUUGAUA
Solanum pennellii is the source of this 510-nucleotide long non-coding RNA. RefSeq lists it as uncharacterized. NCBI's taxonomy places the organism in Eukaryota, Viridiplantae, Streptophyta, Magnoliopsida, Solanales, Solanaceae. The record is from RefSeq and is a predicted model, not a curated record. The transcript has 2 exons.